RNAcentral lists this ribosomal RNA (1448 nucleotides) under Escherichia coli. Its description in RNAcentral is "partial 23S ribosomal RNA". It matches the Rfam family "Bacterial large subunit ribosomal RNA", at positions 296 to 1756 of the family's 2925-position model. The record is from RNAcentral. Lineage: Bacteria; Pseudomonadati; Pseudomonadota; Gammaproteobacteria; Enterobacterales; Enterobacteriaceae.
AGCCCAGAGCCUGAAUCAGUGUGUGUGUUAGUGGAAGCGUCUGGAAAGGCGCGCGAUACAGGGUGACAGCCCCGUACACAAAAAUGCACAUGCUGUGAGCUCGAUGAGUAGGGCGGGACACGUGGUAUCCUGUCUGAAUAUGGGGGGACCAUCCUCCAAGGCUAAAUACUCCUGACUGACCGAUAGUGAACCAGUACCGUGAGGGAAAGGCGAAAAGAACCCCGGCGAGGGGAGUGAAAAAGAACCUGAAACCGUGUACGUACAAGCAGUGGGAGCCUCUUUAUGGGGUGACUGCGUACCUUUUGUAUAAUGGGUCAGCGACUUAUAUUCUGUAGCAAGGUUAACCGAAUAGGGGAGCCGAAGGGAAACCGAGUCUUAACUGGGCGUUAAGUUGCAGGGUAUAGACCCGAAACCCGGUGAUCUAGCCAUGGGCAGGUUGAAGGUUGGGUAACACUAACUGGAGGACCGAACCGACUAAUGUUGAAAAAUUAGCGGAUGACUUGUGGCUGGGGGUGAAAGGCCAAUCAAACCGGGAGAUAGCUGGUUCUCCCCGAAAGCUAUUUAGGUAGCGCCUCGUGAAUUCAUCUCCGGGGGUAGAGCACUGUUUCGGCAAGGGGGUCAUCCCGACUUACCAACCCGAUGCAAACUGCGAAUACCGGAGAAUGUUAUCACGGGAGACACACGGCGGGUGCUAACGUCCGUCGUGAAGAGGGAAACAACCCAGACCGCCAGCUAAGGUCCCAAAGUCAUGGUUAAGUGGGAAACGAUGUGGGAAGGCCCAGACAGCCAGGAUGUUGGCUUAGAAGCAGCCAUCAUUUAAAGAAAGCGUAAUAGCUCACUGGUCGAGUCGGCCUGCGCGGAAGAUGUAACGGGGCUAAACCAUGCACCGAAGCUGCGGCAGCGACGCUUAUGCGUUGUUGGGUAGGGGAGCGUUCUGUAAGCCUGCGAAGGUGUACUGUGAGGUAUGCUGGAGGUAUCAGAAGUGCGAAUGCUGACAUAAGUAACGAUAAAGCGGGUGAAAAGCCCGCUCGCCGGAAGACCAAGGGUUCCUGUCCAACGUUAAUCGGGGCAGGGUGAGUCGACCCCUAAGGCGAGGCCGAAAGGCGUAGUCGAUGGGAAACAGGUUAAUAUUCCUGUACUUGGUGUUACUGCGAAGGGGGGACGGAGAAGGCUAUGUUGGCCGGGCGACGGUUGUCCCGGUUUAAGCGUGUAGGCUGGUUUUCCAGGCAAAUCCGGAAAAUCAAGGCUGAGGCGUGAUGACGAGGCACUACGGUGCUGAAGCAACAAAUGCCCUGCUUCCAGGAAAAGCCUCUAAGCAUCAGGUAACAUCAAAUCGUACCCCAAACCGACACAGGUGGUCAGGUAGAGAAUACCAAGGCGCUUGAGAGAACUCGGGUGAAGGAACUAGGCAAAAUGGUGCCGUAACUUCGGGAGAAGGCACGCUGAUA